GCUGGUUUGUCUUUUAUCAUUAGCUUAGCACUCAUUCUGUUGUUGUUACACCAACUGCUUUUAACUUACUACAUUGAUAUGGAACAAAUAUAAUCUGCCUUCAUUAGCUCUAUCUUGUUUGAUGAUUAGGAAAUUCAAGGGAUUUUUUUAGACAAAGGGAAAAGUUUUUAGAUUGGCCAACAAAUUGGGAUUGAUUAAUUAUAUUUUUGGUGCAGAAAAUUAAGAAAAUAGAUAGAACAAGAGGAACUUGUGCAUUUUCAGGAAAGAAAAGUGAGUGGAGUGAAUGAUGCAGUAGUCAAAUAAGCCUUUAGAUUAAAACCAAAUACCAUAUUUUUCCUUUAAUCAAAAGCCUAGGGAAAUAACUAGGUUAACAGGUAUUUAAUUAGACUUGAAAGCUUAAUUUAUUUUUUAUGGAUUUUGACAUGGAAUGAUAGAGUUAGGAAAACAUAGACCAGAAAUUACACAAAAAGACAGAACAAGGAAAUGGUAGUAGGAAGAAGAUAGAGAUUUUUAUUCAAAAUACCCAAAGGGGUCCAGGUGAUUACAAGAUAAUACUAUCCCUCACCCUCCAGCACUACCAACACUACCUCCAAGGUUCAUAGAGCUGGAAAAUACAAAUUAUUCAAUU
RNAcentral lists this unclassified non-coding RNA (628 nucleotides) under Hevea brasiliensis (rubber tree). Lineage: Eukaryota; Viridiplantae; Streptophyta; Magnoliopsida; Malpighiales; Euphorbiaceae. The record is from RNAcentral.